AGUUAAAAAUUUUAUUCAUUUGUACUAUUAAAAAUUGACGUGACUGAUGGAAUAAUCAUGUGUACCUCAUUCUAAUGUAUAAAGAUCAAUUUUUAACAUUAGAAAUGAAUGAAAUUUUUAACA
RNAcentral lists this microRNA precursor (123 nucleotides) under Gossypium hirsutum (cotton). RNAcentral's name for it is "MIR7502 microRNA precursor family". It matches the Rfam family "MIR7502 microRNA precursor family". Lineage: Eukaryota; Viridiplantae; Streptophyta; Magnoliopsida; Malvales; Malvaceae. The record is from Rfam by way of RNAcentral.